Molecule: ribosomal RNA, 508 nt
Filed under: uncultured bacterium
Lineage: Bacteria
Description: partial 16S ribosomal RNA
Rfam family: Bacterial small subunit ribosomal RNA
Source: RNAcentral
AGUGAACGCUAGCGACAGGCCUAACACAUGCAAGUCGAGGGGCAGCACAUGCGAAGCAAUACAAUGGUGGCGACCGGCGCACGGGUGAGUAACACGUAUGCAACCUACCUGUAAGAGGGGAAUAACCCGGAGAAAUUCGGACUAACACCGCAUAAUACCUCGAAGCUGCAUGGCUUUGGGGCUAAAUAUUUAUAGCUUACAGAUGGGCAUGCGUAACAUUAGAUAGUUGGUGAGGUAAAGGCUCACCAAGGCGACGAUCCGUAGCGGGUCUGGGAGGAUGAUCCGCCACACUGGGACUGAGACACGGCCCAGACUCCUACGGGAGGCAGCAGUGGGGAAUUUUGGACAAGGGGCGCAAGCCUGAUCCAGCCAUGCCGCGUGAGUGAAGAAGGCCUUCGGGUUGUAAAGCUCUUUCGCGAGGGAAGAAAUGGCGUCGGCUAAUACCUGGCGUCGAUGACGGUACCUUGAUAAGAAGCACCGGCUAACUACGUGCCAGCCGCCGCCGUAA